Trichechus manatus latirostris (Florida manatee) is the source of this 104-nucleotide small nuclear RNA. The record is from RefSeq and is a predicted model, not a curated record. NCBI's taxonomy places the organism in Eukaryota, Metazoa, Chordata, Mammalia, Sirenia, Trichechidae.
GUGGUCACUUCGGCAGCAUGUAUACUAAAAUUGGAACGAUACAGAGAUUAGCAUGGCCCCUGCACAAGAAUGACACACAAAUUCGUGAAGCCUUCCAUAUUUUU